This 1212-nucleotide ribosomal RNA is filed under the name Mammaliicoccus fleurettii. RNAcentral's name for it is "partial 23S ribosomal RNA". It matches the Rfam family "Bacterial large subunit ribosomal RNA", at positions 337 to 1553 of the family's 2925-position model. The record is from RNAcentral. Lineage: Bacteria; Bacillati; Bacillota; Bacilli; Caryophanales; Staphylococcaceae.
AUGGUUUUGGAAAAACCAACCAUAGAAGGUAAUGGUCCUGUAGUCGAAAGUUAUUUCUCUCCUGAGUGGAUCCUGAGUACGGCGGAACACGUGUAAUUCCGUCGGAAUCCGGGAGGACCAUCUCCCAAGGCUAAAUACUCUCUAGUGACCGAUAGUGAACCAGUACCGUGAGGGAAAGGUGAAAAGCACCCCGGAAGGGGAGUGAAAUAGAACCUGAAACCGUGUGCUUACAAAUAGUCAGAGCCCGUUAAUGGGUGAUGGCGUGCCUUUUGUAGAAUGAACCGGCGAGUUACGAUUUGAUGCAAGGUUAAGCAGUAAAUGUGGAGCCGUAGCGAAAGCGAGUCUGAAUAGGGCGAAUGAGUAUCUGGUCGUAGACCCGAAACCAAGUGAUCUACCCAUGUCCAGGUUGAAGUUCAGGUAACACUGAAUGGAGGACCGAACCGACUUACGUUGAAAAGUGAGCGGAUGAGGUGUGGGUAGCGGAGAAAUUCCAAUCGAACUUGGAGAUAGCUGGUUCUCUCCGAAAUAGCUUUAGGGCUAGCCUCAAGUGAUGAUUAUUGGAGGUAGAGCACUGUUUGGACGAGGGGCCCCUCUAGGGUUACCGAAUUCAGACAAACUCCGAAUGCCAAAUAAUUUAACUUGGGAGUCAGACUAUGGGUGAUAAGGUCCGUAGUCGAAAGGGAAACAGCCCAGACCACCAGCUAAGGUCCCAAAAUAUAUGUUAAGUGGAAAAGGAUGUGGCGUUGCCCAGACAACUAGGAUGUUGGCUUAGAAGCAGCCAUCAUUUAAAGAGUGCGUAAUAGCUCACUAGUCGAGUGACACUGCGCCGAAAAUGUACCGGGGCUAAACAUAUUACCGAAGCUGUGGAUUAUCCGUAAGGAUAGUGGUAGGAGAGCGUUCUAAACGUGUUGAAGCAUGAUCGUAAGGACAUGUGGAAUGUUUAGAAGUGAGAAUGCCGGUGUGAGUAGCGAAAGAUGGGUGAGAAUCCCAUCCACCGAUUGACUAAGGUUUCCAGAGGAAGGCUCGUCCGCUCUGGGUUAGUCGGGACCUAAGCCGAGGCCGAUAGGCGUAGGCGAUGGAUAACAGGUAGAUAUUCCUGUACCACCUAUGAUUGUUUGAACGAUGGGGGGACGCAGUAGGAUAGGCGAAGCGUGCUGUUGGAGUGCACGUCCAAGCAACAAGACUGAGUGUUAGGCAAAUCCGGCACUUAUA